GGUGCGACACUUGAAUCUUUUUCGAAUCAGUUUAAAAGAUUCCAAAAAGAUUCAGAAUGAUUCGAAAAGAUUAGGCGCGAUCAACAACAAAACCAGGUGCUUGUCAAAUGAAUCAAAAUGACUGAAUGAUUUCGAUUAGUGUAUGUUUUUGUUUUGGAGCGCGUUUCAUUGUUUGCUGCGAGGUUUCGCGUGAUGUAAUUAGAAGACAAUCAACCGUGUAAUCAGCUUUUCUCUACUGCAGAUAGUGUUGCUGCCAGAGUAUAGUUAUGCAGGACGUGGUGGACUAGCGCUCAACGACAGAAAACCCGGAUCAUACUGCACUUUCGAUAUGUUUUCCGCUGGGGCCCUAGAUUUUCCAUAUGAAUGCCGAAUGAAAAAUCCUUCACUGGACUCACACCUGGGCCAAACGCUUCCACUCUUCCAGCACACCUGCAAGUGUAUCAGCUUAUCGAUAGCAACCAGCAACAUCUGCGACCUGAAACGGAAUCAUCAGCAUCUGUUCUCUUCACCUGAGACCUCUUCACUCGUCGUUUUCCGGAAUCGUUGCAGCUUGUCCAGUCCAGAUUCCGUGAGACGUCCAGCCCAACGCUGCCUGUUGUUCUUUUCCAGAUCGACAAUGUGCAUAUACUAGGUUCUAUGCGUGAUUUCUACCAUUUACGGCUUGUUUAUCGCCAAGUGUUCGCGUAAGACCCUACAUCAAAAUGAUUUCCGGCCAACUUUCUUCAACAUCUAAGGCAUUGUCGGUUUAAGUGUCCAUUCAAGCAACCUGGCCGGAAUAUUCACAUGGUUUUGAAAAAAAACGAGAAAUUUUUAAUGUGGCAACUAAAAACAAGCAUGAGUCAUCUUAUUUAUGAAUAAAAUCUUUAACUUUUUAGUUAUAAAAUUAAAUAAAA
Long non-coding RNA from Aedes albopictus (Asian tiger mosquito), 893 nucleotides. RefSeq lists it as uncharacterized. The transcript has 2 exons. Lineage: Eukaryota; Metazoa; Arthropoda; Insecta; Diptera; Culicidae. The record is from RefSeq and is a predicted model, not a curated record.